This 888-nucleotide ribosomal RNA is filed under the name Bacillus aerophilus. Its description in RNAcentral is "bacterial SSU rRNA". It matches the Rfam family "Bacterial small subunit ribosomal RNA", at positions 61 to 929 of the family's 1533-position model. Lineage: Bacteria; Bacillati; Bacillota; Bacilli; Caryophanales; Bacillaceae. The record is from RNAcentral.
GUCGAGCGGACAGAAGGGAGCUUGCUCCCGGAUGUUAGCGGCGGACGGGUGAGUAACACGUGGGUAACCUGCCUGUAAGACUGGGAUAACUCCGGGAAACCGGAGCUAAUACCGGAUAGUUCCUUGAACCGCAUGGUUCAAGGAUGAAAGACGGUUUCGGCUGUCACUUACAGAUGGACCCGCGGCGCAUUAGCUAGUUGGUGAGGUAACGGCUCACCAAGGCGACGAUGCGUAGCCGACCUGAGAGGGUGAUCGGCCACACUGGGACUGAGACACGGCCCAGACUCCUACGGGAGGCAGCAGUAGGGAAUCUUCCGCAAUGGACGAAAGUCUGACGGAGCAACGCCGCGUGAGUGAUGAAGGUUUUCGGAUCGUAAAGCUCUGUUGUUAGGGAAGAACAAGUGCAAGAGUAACUGCUUGCACCUUGACGGUACCUAACCAGAAAGCCACGGCUAACUACGUGCCAGCAGCCGCGGUAAUACGUAGGUGGCAAGCGUUGUCCGGAAUUAUUGGGCGUAAAGGGCUCGCAGGCGGUUUCUUAAGUCUGAUGUGAAAGCCCCCGGCUCAACCGGGGAGGGUCAUUGGAAACUGGGAAACUUGAGUGCAGAAGAGGAGAGUGGAAUUCCACGUGUAGCGGUGAAAUGCGUAGAGAUGUGGAGGAACACCAGUGGCGAAGGCGACUCUCUGGUCUGUAACUGACGCUGAGGAGCGAAAGCGUGGGGAGCGAACAGGAUUAGAUACCCUGGUAGUCCACGCCGUAAACGAUGAGUGCUAAGUGUUAGGGGGGUUUCCGCCCCUUAGUGCUGCAGCUAACGCAUUAAGCACUCCGCCUGGNGAGUACGGUCGCAAGACUGAAACUCAAAGGAAUUGACGGGGGGCCCGCACAAG